Molecule: ribosomal RNA, 453 nt
Filed under: uncultured bacterium
Lineage: Bacteria
Description: SSU rRNA
Rfam family: Bacterial small subunit ribosomal RNA
Source: RNAcentral
AGGAUGAACGCUGGCGGUGUGCCUAAUACAUGCAAGUCGUACGGAAAGGCCCUUCGGGGUACUCGAGUGGCGGACGGCUGAGUAACGCGUGGGAACGUACCCUAAAGUGAGGAAUAACUGCCCGAAAGGGUGGCUAAUGCCGCAUAUGCUCUUCGGAGUAAAGCUUCGGCGCUUUGGGAGCGGCCCGCGUCCGAUUAGCUUGUUGGUAAGGUAAUGGCUUACCAAGGCGACGAUCGGUAGCUGGUCUGAGAGGAUGAUCAGCCAGACUGGGACUGAGAACGGCCCAGACUCCUACGGGAGGCAGCAGUAGGGAAUUUUCCACAAUGGGCGAAAGCCUGAUGGAGCAACACCGCGUGCAGGACGAAGGCCCUCGGGUCGUAAACUGCUUUUAUUUGUGACGAUUAUGACGGUAGCAGAUGAAUAAGGAUCGGCUAACUCCGUGCCAACAGCCGC